This 104-nucleotide non-coding RNA is filed under the name Virgibacillus pantothenticus. RNAcentral describes it as "TPP sequence". It matches the Rfam family "TPP riboswitch aptamer (THI element)". Rfam says of the family: Vitamin B(1) in its active form thiamin pyrophosphate (TPP) is an essential coenzyme that is synthesised by coupling of pyrimidine and thiazole moieties in bacteria. The previously detected thiamin-regulatory element, thi box was extended, resulting in a new, highly conserved RNA secondary structure, the THI element, which is widely distributed in eubacteria and also occurs in some archaea. Analysis of operon structures identified a large number of new candidate thiamin-regulated genes, mostly transporters, in various prokaryotic organisms. Lineage: Bacteria; Bacillati; Bacillota; Bacilli; Caryophanales; Bacillaceae. The record is from Rfam by way of RNAcentral.
AGAAACCACAAGGGGAGCCUUUUAGGCUGAGAUAGAACGAUUGAGUUCGGACCCUUUGAACCUGUUUAGUUAGCACUUGCGUAGGGAUGUGGGCAACAAAGAUU